UUGGACCCGCGCGGCGCUGUGCUCCUCCGUCAGGCCAGGGCGGGGCUCCCGGGCCUCGUUCUGCUCCAGGCCCCUUUCCCAGAGCCACGCAGGGCUCCGGGCUCCUGCUCUGCCGCCCGAGGCUGAUGCAACCGUGGAUGUGAGGUACACCAUCCAGAUCAGAUUGAAUCUGACUGCUACUGGUGGAGAGUGCUUCCGUAUACAUAACACAAAUGCACCAAAUUGAGAAUCAAAUGCUGAGAAAACAGGAUCUAGUCCACAAAUGGGUGCCUGAAUAAGUCUACUAAGCUGUGAAGUGGGCUGCAGUCCACCAAAGCUUAUGCCACAAUAAAUUCAAGUCUUUAAAGUGCCACGAGACUUCAUUUCUUUUGCUGCUGCAGACUUAACGCUGCUGCCCCAUGAAGAUGCCUUUUGUGUUUGUGCUGUAACAGACUUAACAGGGCUACCCAUCUGGAAAAUGGCUUUCCACUUAUCUGCUCCUACUGACAUGUAUCAGUGGUAAUUCCUUGUAACCUCACAGAGGUGGCAUCUGCCCAAAUGGGCUCUGGCUUAGCAAAAGCUUACACCAGCAAUAUUACACUGUGAGCUGUCACAGACUGCUGCCAUUUUCCCUACAGCAGACUAACAAGACUAUCCUAUUCCCCUCUGGCAUGGGCCACAUUGGAGGAAAAAACCCAGUAUUGGUUUCAUUUAACACAAUUCAUUUUGUUGUUGCAGGGGGGAAACCUUCAGCUUUCUAUGUGCCUUAUUCUGAAAUUAUGUUCUUGCCUGAUAGGAAUAGUUUAUUCAAACUCCUACCUUUUCCUUCCAUUUCCGAUCUGUUGUGUUUUUUUGGCUUUUUAGCUUGUCAGCCUUAGGACGCAGCCUCUCUCUAAAUAAAGAAAUGUGAGCUGCUCUGGGAAUCAUAAUAUCUGUACGAAAAGUGAGAUGGCAGAUAAAUUAAUAAAUAAAAAUAAACCCCAACAUCUAAUAGUCAUGCUGUCCUGGGCUUGAUCCCUUCCCCCUUUCUUUUUUGUUGUGUACACACACUACAUUUAAAACACAUUCAAAUAACAUUCCCUCAAAGAAUUCUGGGUACUGUAGUUUGUUAAUGUUGCCGGGAAUUGUAAGAGUAAGUCCCCAUAAUUCUUUGAGGAAAAGAAUAUGUUUCACAUGUGCUUUAAAAUGUAAAGUGUGUAUAUAGCCUUAUUCUCGCUCCUUUGUUUGCCUUUGAAAUAAGCCUUUUAAAAAUAAUUAGAUUUAAACCUGAAGAUAGCAGUCUCCACACUUAGUUCCCAAGGAAUUAUAUAUUGGGAUGGAAAGUAUGGAGUGAAA
Long non-coding RNA from Podarcis raffonei (Aeolian wall lizard), 1314 nucleotides. RefSeq lists it as uncharacterized. Lineage: Eukaryota; Metazoa; Chordata; Lepidosauria; Squamata; Lacertidae. The transcript has 3 exons. The record is from RefSeq and is a predicted model, not a curated record.